CUUACGCCUUUAAGAUCCGGUUGC
RNAcentral lists this non-coding RNA (24 nucleotides) under Arabidopsis thaliana (thale cress). Lineage: Eukaryota; Viridiplantae; Streptophyta; Magnoliopsida; Brassicales; Brassicaceae. The record is from RNAcentral.